This 1552-nucleotide long non-coding RNA is filed under the name Homo sapiens (human). RNAcentral's name for it is "HSALNT0387981". Lineage: Eukaryota; Metazoa; Chordata; Mammalia; Primates; Hominidae. The record is from RNAcentral.
AAGGCUAGGACGCCUUUCCCCUUCCCCCCAUCCCCACGGCAGCUCUAUGGCUGGGCCCCUCCUCCUGCCCACUCUCUGGUACCACCUAGAGAGCACGGGGCCCACUCCCCAAACCAGACGGCAUGCCCUCCCCUAGGCCAAGAGGACCCGUUAGUAGGCACUGGCUUUCCUGCACAUCCCCUCAACGGGGCUGCCCCCCACAGCAGGUGAGCCCCCACCAUGAGUUUGAGAGACCAGGGCUGCUGGGGCCUGGUCAUGCAGGGCCCGGACAGGGGGCUGUCCCGCUGUGAGGAAGCUCUUGGCUUACCCUCCUCUGAGCCUCAGAGCUUGUGAGGUUAGUUCCUGGGUUCCCUGGGUGUGGGCAACCUCUAGCCCUGUUCAUCCCUUGCGUUUCAACAGUACCCCCAGGUGACCCCCACCCCUGAUGUUCCUGCUUUUCUAUUUUUAUUGUUGCUAAAUCACAGCUGACACUUUCCUGGCCUGAGACUGAGCCCUCCAGUCUCCAGCCAUUCCUUAUAGGAAGUAAGAACAGGGAAGUGGAUAGGGGAAACAGACCUUUCCAGAGGGAGAGGCUGGCAUAGGAAGGGCUGAGUCCCGUGGGUGUGUGCUGGCACCGACAGCCCCAUAGGCAGGGGCCUUCCCCCCGGCACCCUUCUCUCUCCCCACAGCUUCCCCCGCCCCGGAAAAGCUAGCAAGCCUUCCUUCCUUCCUCCGGGAAGCACAUCUAUCCAGAGCAGGCUCAUCCCCGGCGGCCACACAAUGGCCCUUAUCAGCCGUGGAGCCAGGCGUAGACCCAGUGCACACCAGACUACUGAGACCGCUCUGCGGGUGGGUUCAGACCCCAUUCCUGUUUCUGGUCCUGUGGGAAACCACAGGUGCCUGGAACUUUGAAGAGACUGUACCACUUCUCUGAGCCUUGGCUUUCCCAUCUGCCCAAUGAAGGGUGCCAUGCAGUAACCCUCGUGAUGGCUGUGCAUGUGAGAAGGAACAGGUGGGCAAGUGAGGGCUUUGGAGGUCCCUAGGUAUAUGUGUUGGGGGCAGGGAUAGGUUACCAUGGGGGAAAACUCAGCAAGAAGGGGCUGAGGAGAAGUGGGGCAGAAAGAGAAGAUGGUGGCAUUCUGGACUGGUUAACGCAGGCAGAAGGCUCAACACCAGGGUAUGCAGAGCAGCGGGUCAGGAGGGAUGAACAAGAGCUCAUUUGACUUAACAGAGUACAUUAAGCGGCCACCGGCAUAGAUGGCAUGCUCCACCUGGUUAGGGCCCCAGAGGCUCACCAUUCUAGAACCUCAUCCUAGCCCCAGUCCUGGCCACUUCUGCAAAUCUCAGACACAGAAGUCUAGUUGGGAUCUACAGGGUCCCUGUUCCUGGAAUCUACAGCUAGUCCCAGGCCCAUCACCGUACCCCCACCCCCCAAUCAUCAGUCACACGCAAGUGUAAAAGCCACGCUAAUAAUUACCCCUGCACAAUGUAACAGUCACAAAACAGCCAGCCAUGGCCUGCUGGAAGCCAGGGGACAAUUCUUCAUACACAGGCUUGCGGGGGAGAGUAUGCA